Molecule: ribosomal RNA, 500 nt
Filed under: uncultured bacterium
Lineage: Bacteria
Description: bacterial SSU rRNA
Rfam family: Bacterial small subunit ribosomal RNA
Source: RNAcentral
GAUGAACGCUGGCGGCGUGCCUCAAACAUGCAAGUCGAGCGGGGCUAUGUAAUAUCGCAAGGUAGAACAUAGCCUAGCGGCGAACGGGUGAGUAACACGUGGGUAACCUGCCUGGAAGACAGGGAUAACGAUUCGAAAGGGUCGCUAAUACCUGAUAAUAUCCUUUCAUCGCAUGGUGAUAGGAAGAAAGGGGAAACCCGCUUUCAGAUGGGCCCGCGUCCCAUCAGCUAGUUGGUAAGGUAAAGGCUUACCAAGGCGACGACGGGUAGCCGGUCUGAGAGGAUGUACGGCCACACUGGGACUGAGAUACGGCCCAGACUCCUACGGGAGGCAGCAGUGGGGGAUUUUGGACAAUGGGCGAAAGCCUGAUCCAGCGACGCCGCGUGGAGGACGAAGCCCUUCGGGGUGUAAACGUCCUUUUCUCUAGGGAAAAGGAUGAUGGUACCUGAGGAAUAAGCCCCGGCUAACUACGUGCCAGCAGCCGCGGUAAAGUACUCUAU